UAUGAGGAAGAGGAGCUGGCUCAGAGAAGUGAUCCUCCCUAAAUCAAAAAGACUGGUGAAAGCAACAGGGGAAAUGGAGACUACAGGCUUUCCCCCCUCCUUUCUGAUUUUGAGAUAUUUAUGAGACGGCAAAAAGCUCUUUGUAUCAACUCAUAAUUUCAAAUGGUUCUCACAUAAUUUUGGUCCAGGCAGAAAUCCUGCUACUCCCUCUGUGAUACGAGAGGAGUCCCAAAGCAUAAUCUUGAGUGCAGUCUCACGGACAUUGCUUUUGACAUCAUCAUCAAAAUCCUGGACUGUUUCUAAGAGUUUUUGCCACUGUGGUGCACAGAAGUGAGAAGGAAACAAAAUACAGAGGCAAUGCCCACCAAAUCUUGGUGGUUGAGGAACUGCUGAACACCUUGAUGGACAGGACUGGGAUACAGAAGAGCUUCUUCAACAGGAUGUGACUGGUUUGACUGAAUAUGAGAGCAGAGGUUUCCCCAGGACCUUCAGACAAGAGCCUCAAGGACAGUGGUGGCAUCAAAGGGCACCUGACAUUUUCUGGGACUUGGACAUCCAUGGCUCAUUAUGAAGAACAGAAUAUGGAGUAGAAGGUCCUUUACUGAGAAAUCCCUGGCUCUGCAUCCAUAAAUAAAUCACCCUUUAUGAAACUUGCUCACAUCUGUGCUGUCUCAAGCACGGGCAGAGGGAAGCUGUCAGCCUGGGCACAGAUCUUCACUGGCACAGAAGGAAUAGUCUGGAAGGAAGAGAAUGACACAUAUCAUGCCUCUACUUUGUGCAGCAAUCUCGAUAUUUUAUGUUGUGUAAUGACUGGGAAAAAAAGGAAAGAAAAAAAAUAAAAGCAGGGAUCACCUACACAAAAAGCAUCCCCGGUCUGGUCUGGUGUUGAUGUUAAUGAAGCUCCAAGAAGAAGGAGGCUGGCCUAGAAACCUCCAGAGGUCCUUCUCAAAUGUUUUUUCUAUGAUCUUACAGUUCUGGGUUUUCUUGAAGCAGAUAUUGCUUUGGUGCACUGAAUUGAACAAAACAAGACAAAAUGAAACGAAUAGUGCUCAGCACCAGGUACUCAGUUCUUGGUAGGAGCCACUUGGCAAUUUUACAGAUGCUGAGAGUCUCAACCUUCAACCUGUAAGGUGUUUCCUGUAAUAUGAGAAUUUAUCAGCCGGCUUUCAGAGCCACAUAGUCAUUGUUAUUCCAGGCCAAAGCUUAAACACAAAAUCAGAGCUGCGAGGACUUAGCAUGAGCUUCCAGAGGUCAAAUCCUGCAGCCUUUAGCCAGGCAAACUAAACCUUCGACUUGGUAGGAUUUUGUCUACACCAGGACUGCGGCGUUUGCAGAACACGAGUCAAGCACAAGUCAGGCUCCUGCAGAAGGGAAGGCAGUGAAGGAUAUUUCUACCCAUCUUUCCAGCCCUGAGUGUGAUGGAGAGUGACAUCAAACAAGAGCUGCCCAUCUCAGCUGUCAAGGGCCUCGCCAGAAAUGAAAAGUUCAAUCUCAGGGUACCAAGGAUCUCAGGGUACCGAGGAUCUCAACCUUAUCCAACACAGCAUCCUUCAGUGUGGAGCUGCAGGAAUCCAGGGGAAAUGCAUGCACAGAGAACUGUGUCAUCCCGUUUUCCAAGGAGCUAAAGUUCACUCCAACAUGUGUUACAUGGGAGGCACGUCUUUGGGGGAAAAGACACGGUGAUGGGAGGUAUCAGGAAUGGUGAAGCACUUGCAGCUAUUUUUUUUAUCCCAUCUGCACCCAAAUACUUCUGUGCCUUGCAAAGGGGGGGUCAGGUGUUGAAGCACUCCCCUGGAUGGUUUUUAUAUCACACAGAUCCACCGCUGUGUUUCUAAUAAAGCCAUCAAGAGCACAACCGGGAGCUCCCUGCGUGAUCUUAAGCAAUAUAAGUCACUGCUUCAGAGGACUCUCUUAACUUGGGGCUGGAUGCACUCAAAAAAUCUUCCAAGUUAUUCUCUCCUAAUUCAAGUCAGCUGAGGCAUCAAAAUGUCGGGCAGAUGGACAAGAUCCCUCGGCUGCAGCCAGCCUGUUUUCUGCUGUUACUCUUGUGGCACUCAAAAAUUAGAGACUUUUAUUAUGAGGAAACUGAGACACUGUGAAAUUAAAAGCUUUGGGAAAUUAGUGCGCAGUAAAUUACGGUGUGAAUUUACUGUGUACCAACCACCCUGCACGAACUCAUCAUGUGGACUGGCAAAGAAAAAGGAUUAAACUCCCUUAAAUUAUCUCACAUUUGCCAUGGACAGGCAGUUGCCAUGGAUCAGGUGACACGUAGCAACUUCUCAACCCGCAGCGAAUCUGCCAUCGGUGAGGAACCAUUCACGGGGGCUUUGCUGCUCAUCUGCUCCAACUUUAGGCUGUGGAUAAUGCGGGAUAACAGAGAGAGAGAAAAAGUGGUGGGCAUCAUCUGAAGCAAUCUACUGUGUCCCUUCAUGGCAUGCCUCCUCUGAAUGAAUCAGGAGGUCGUGGUGACUCUUGUAGAGAUGGUCACUGCUGGAGCUGGAGGAGAUGAUGGAUUUGAAGGGAAAGUCUGUGGCUGUUUCCAGAAAUGAGCAAGAGGUGCAGCAUGAGCCCUGUGACAAGGACAGCCCAGGCUGCUGUGUGGAUGAGGAGAGGGAAGGUGCUACACACACCAGGGAGGCUGGCAAAGGAGAAAGGCACAGUGGAGUCAAGGAAACCUGAUGUUGUUUUCAGUUUACCAACAUCUCUUUUGAAAACAGACCCAUCUCACUGUAGAAAUGUUCUGGAAACAAACUGAAACAAUUCCUUCUACCCCCAGCAAGAACAAUCAAGUGUCAGAGCUUUAUUUUACAAUUUCCUUGGAUAAUAUUUGGACAUAAAUGAUACCUGGCAAUUGUAUGCUCAUUGACAUUUUAUUUUUAACAUUUCAAUGAUUAAGCCGGACUCAUAGACGUGUAGUUUUUAAUUUUAAGAAAAAGGCUUUCCCAUGACAAUGGAGUGCAUAGUUUCAAGAUGAAAUUCAGCCUAGGAAAGACCUAUGGACUGGCACAAAAAGUGUGAAAUACCACAUGAGCUUUGUUAAUAAGUCAGUAGAGUUGUAAGAAGUCAAUGCAGUACCAGCUGAUACCUGGGAGAAGAAAAGUACAAACCUGUGUCUCUUUGCAGAGCAUUUCCAGCACACCAUCAGCCUGUGAACGACGCUGGCAUGGCAGCCCUGAUAGCGAUGAAGAGACUCCUGGUGUGCAUCAAUCAACCCAGAGAAGAGAGACCAAAAUAGCUGAUUACUGGGUCUGUAAUGUCUUAUCCUCAGAACAAAACCAAAUUUUCAGUUAGCUUUUAGAAUGGCUUGUUUUCCUCAUCCAUCUGCAUGCCCAGCGCAAACCUUCCAGGAAGUGAUCUUUGUUUCAACAGUAGGUAUGUCAGGUACAGGUAUUUUAAGGAGGAGGUAGUUUAAGCCAAGGGCUGCAUAUUUCAAUGCUUUCCUAACCCCCAGUUGAAAACCCAUAUGCCACUAAGUGGUUUAUAACUUGAGAGUCAGCCACCACUAUUUUUUUAAAUGUUCUAUAAUGUUUAUAAUGUCAGCCAGUCCCUGUUGCUAACCUUUUUUUUUUCUUUUACUUUCUUUACUGUUUUUUUUUUUUUGAGGUAACCCUUUUACCUUCUUUUUCCCUGCUCAGACCCAUUAGCAGGAUGUUGUGCAAUAUGGUGCUUGUCAUCUGUUUCAAAGACACAGUGAUGAGAUACAGGUAUGCCAGAUGGAUAAACCUAGUGUGACUAAUUAUUGUGUAUUUGCCUUUAAUUAUUAUCAUUUAUUACCAGAGAAAAGACAAUAGAGGUUCCCAGACUCGGAAGGGAAUGUUGGCAGAAGGGGAUUUUUUGUCUUUUUUGGUUUUUUUUCUUUUUUUUUUUCAAGAGACUGGCACAUCAGCAAGAAAAGUUUUCUUCUUGGAGAGAAAUACUGCAAAACAUCCGAGACAAGAGGAGACAACAUGACCUAGGGAAUACUUUCCUUUCCCUGGCACAUACUUGAGGAUCAGAUCUCUCGCAGGUGCCUGCUGAGGACAGACACUUCACUCAACUCAGAACCAGCAGCCUGGCAUGCUGGAUGAUUUUGAAAGAGUCUAGAAGGUUGACAAUGGUAAGAAACUUUUGGAAAAGUUUAAUGCUCUGGUCCCAAAAGCUGCUUUCAGGUUACAGCUGAAUCAGCUGCCAUUUACAAGUGCAGAGUGGGUUUAUGAUGGCUCAUAAGCCUGAUCUUGCUUAUGGGGCACUGCACUUUAAUUUGAGAGCAGCCACACUGAUUUGGUAAACAGAUUGAGGAAGAGCUUCUGACUCCAGGCUUUAAAAUUCAUGAGGAUCUGAUUUAGUACGUUUUACACUGGUAUUUUAACAUAUUUGCUCUAUGGCUAAAUUGCAGUGUAACCUAAAGGACCAGUCAUAUACGACAAUCUACCAUAGAUAAUACAAGAUAUAAUCAAUGUCACCAGGCUGCUGAGCUAUUUCUAUAUUUAGUAUUUGUCAGACAAAUACAUGCAAAGGCAUUAAAACAACAAAGUCCGUACAUGGAUGAUUUGUGAACAGGAGAAAAGGCUAAAUUUGCCACUGUUUGCUCUGAAUAGCUCACCCAGAUUACAGGCCAAUUUUGUUUUGGACAGAAAUAUUUUCCAUCACAGGGUCUGCUGAAGUCAAGAGAGUACUAUUCCUUUGGCCACAGGAUGGGCUGAAGGGCUAGGCUGUAUUUUGGGAUUGGCAGCUCUGACCAUCUCCCUUUAACCCAUUUGAACACAAUUUGAUUGGGAUUUUACUGAGCACUUAAUAGUCUGUGAUUGCCUUGAUUGUGGACUUCUACUUUUAAACCAAAUGCAAUGUCAUUAUUAUAUAUCAAGAAAGAACGGUCCCUGAUAACCAAAAAAAUAUUACAUUAAAUUGGCAUGCUGAGAAUUAAAUAUGCAGAUUCAGCCUAAUGAAAUAUCUUGCCUUUGGUUGCAAGAGCCUUCAUCAUUCUUAAGAAGAUUUAAUGCUAAUCUGACUUGGAGCUGUUUCAGUCCAAUUAUUUUUUCACAAAUUUUUGAGCUUUAUUUUUUCUUUUCAGCAGCAUUAUUCUGUCUUGACAGUUUUUAUUUUGUUAUUUUUGUGGAUAUUGAGUAAAUGGGAAACCAAUUCAGAACCAUUCUUAAGUAGAAAUGAAAUGCCCUGUAAUCCAAUUUUGAUCAAAAUUCAUCUUCGCUUUUCGGGGACCGAGCAGCCUGUGCAGUUAUCUCUGCACUGCACAAGUUGAUAAUAAAGCAAAGCAAAGCUCGCAUUCUUUUCCCUUUGCACGUGGUGGGAACUGGGCAUUGUUCAGCUGGAGAACAAUGUGCUGCUCCCCCAGCAUGUGGCAAAGCAGCAGAAUGGCAAGAAGAAGAUUUCUCCCUGGGCUUCUACUUCUGUUUCUCUAAUGUCUGAAGUAAACCUUUCUUCCCACCUGUGGGUGGGUGCUUCUCUUCCCUGGAAACCUCCCUGUCUCCCUCCCCUGAUGUCCUGUGAUUGCAGAAGAUAGCUCAGUGCUGCAGCACCUUUCCCAAAAACACUCCUGGGGAGCAGAGACACGUUCAGCUCUGGUCACAGACCUGGAUUACAGCUCCUCUGCCUUCCACUUCAGUGGCCAUUGCCUUUUGCUUAUGCACAGAUACAAAAGCCAAGACACAGCACAAAAAUACAAUCCCUGUCCAAGCAGUGACUGGACAAAGAGGCCUCGUAUGUCUUACAUGGUGCAGGGAGGGAUCCCAUACAACACAGGAUUUUGCUUUAUGUUUGCUUCAAUGGCUCCAGCUGAGUUCUUAACUGCCUUUUAUUCCACUUUGCCUGGCAGAAGCAAUACCUCAAGGAAGGCUUUUCUGGUGCAACAUCAGCAAAAAUUGGUGGCUUAGGAAUUGCUGUUUGCAGUCAAGCAGAGCUGCUCCAUUCCUCCUAAAAAUGCUCUUAUUCCUUCCUACCACUUAUUUCUUCACUAGCUCCUCCUGUCCACAGCCAAACUUUUUCAAUGUUCAUAUAACCUUCCAUGUUCUAAUGCAAUAGGCUUUCUUCUAGGAUGAGACAGAACAUUGAAUAGCAACAAGUUUUCAGGCAUCCAUCCACAGAUGCUUCUAAGUCCACAGGAUCUUGUGAUAGGUCAUAAAGGAGGGAUACAUUAUUAAAUAAUCAUCACAACAUUGUCAUCGCCUGCCACCUGUCCCCAGAAGGAAAAUUUAGGAGAGGUAACAUGUCAGUAUGAGAGAUGAUUAAAUGUAAGUCUCUGGUACCCUACCAAGACACAUAGCAAAUGCCUUCUUUUCCUUUGUAGCAGGAAGCUCAUUACUAAAGGAUAAUCUGUUUUUAAAGAGAUUGAGUUGUCUUUCCAAGGCAUCUUUAUGUUCAGCUACCCUUUAUUAGUUACUUUCAUGUUUGUGUCUACUCAUCACAUCUUGUAGUUUCUUGCUGCUUCACUCUUUCUAUUUGCUGGCCAUGUAACCUUAGACCAUUCCCUUUCUUUCUUCUUUCUUUCUCUUCAAAAAUCUGCCUGCUGGUAUUUUCCAUGAAUUCAUCUGCAUUAAAUUAUUUAUAGAUACAAUGAAGUCUGCUUUUGUCUAAUGUUUAUUUUCUUUAAUAACAAGAAACAUGGAGAAAAUGUUCCAAAGAACCGAAAAAGGACUUGAGUUUUCCUGGACGCUAGGCAACAGUAGCCAAAAAGUACAAAACAAGAUGUAGGAUGUUCAUAAGAUGCAUCUAAAAAUAAUAAUCUUAGUACUUUGGUAUCUAAUAUGUUCUUUCAAUAUGUUAUAUUUCCCAAAUGUGAGCCUUGGUUUUAAUGCUGUCAUGACACUCUGAAGGUUUUAAUGGACAAUGAGUCACUAUGGAGGAAACCAGGAGCAAUAAGUAGAUGGAUUACUGCUGGUGCAGCCAGACCUCUGCUACCUGUUUUCCUUGUCCUAAGUGUUUUGAAUAGGUCAUGGAGGUCUCUUAUGAUGGUCAUUUUCCCAACCAGAGAGUUUGUCUUGUACCUGGUGAAAAUUAGAACAAACAAUAUAUCUUGCUAAAUGAGUCACUGCUAGUCCUUUGUUACCUUUUACUGUUUGUUUGAAUUUACUUUCCAUCAUGAUUUAAAGGCUUUUCCCAUCUCCUUUUCCAGUGGAGGGUUUAUGCUUCUCAUUGCUUCUUUCUUCCCUUCAAUUAUGUGAGCCAUGCAAGCAUUUCCCCUUGAACACUUUCCAGCUCCCCCACCCCGUACCUCCCCCAGUGCAUGUCCUCCCCCUCGUUUACACAGCUCCCUUCUCCACUGUGUUUCCUGCACUGCCUACACUAAUUGCACUUAGCCUGGAUGUGGUGGGGGAGGGAGGCUGGAAAGGGAGAAAUAAAAAGAGGACUUCUGAGGAAUCUGUGUGAGUUUCUACCUGGAGGGUCUUCUGCACAUGGAAAAAAUGGAAGACAUAAAAUAGGCAACAGAAGGAAGAGGAGAGAGGAACAGAUUCAAGUCCAGGUCCAGAGUGACCGGAGACAAGCUCAAGGUAGGAGCAUGUUGGUUCUCACCCUUUUAGAGGGAGCAAGGCAGCAAUUGGAAGCUGCACAGAUGAGAGCCCAGGAGAUCCAGUCCCUGCUCUCCACAGCACCCAUGUGAUGCAAAAUUCAGAGGGUAAGGCUUGUGGAGCCCUCCCUGCCACCUCUCCUGGCAAAAGGUUGUUCAGCAUGUGAGAGAGGUUGCUUUGUUUUUUACUCAUUGUUCCAUACCCCUUGACCACUCACUCUACUGCAAUUGCUUGUCUAAAACACUUCUCACUGCCCUUGUCCCCACUCCCAUUCCAAAACCACAGGAACAAGGAUGCUGACACCACAGAAGCAACGAGCUGCACGUUGGGGCCAUUCCUACAGGCUGGGGAUGAAAUCUGCCUGGAGAACAUGCAAAAUUCAGUCCCUGCUCUCCUCACAGUGGGAUGUGGAUGUAAACGUCGUCUCUUUCUCAGAGCAGCUUUUGAGAGUGAGUAUUUGUCUCAGAAAGAACAAACACACACCAUCAAACAGCAACGCAACUGACAAACAAGCCCUCAGAGACCAGCAGCUCCCAAAAAUCAGCGCUCAGUACUCUCUGAAACUUCACUCAUUUAGAUUCAAAGGUACCUGGACACAGAAUACUUGAGCUAGAGAAACUGCACAUCUGUGGCAUGUGUUUAUUUAUUUAUUUACCUGUUUUCCAAUCUUGUACCUGCCUACUUUAGCUGAUCUCUAGCUAUCAAAUUGUGAUGGAGCAAAAGUAAUAAAAUGCCUGUAGGAUAGAAAAACCCUGCCUGAAGUUCUCCCAUAGCUCAACCAGACCUAGAAGAUGCACAAUUCAAUUAAAAGAAAUAUAAAGUUUUUCUCUCCUCACCUUGCCAUUUUCCCCUUCUCUUCUGUGCAUUUCAUACAUCCAUAUAUAUAUAUAUAUAUAUAUAUAUAUAUAUAUAUAUAAAUAAAUACACACAUACACACACACACAUACGCACACACGCACAAAGCCACCCCUCCCCUUCCCAAUCCUUCCUUUAAGGUUUAAUUUAACAAUAACAUUUGCGAUCGGGGUCCUGAGCAUCUCAAGGGCAUUGCGCUUGAAAUUGCACACACUCCGCACCAUUUAUCAUAGCCUGACAUGUGUCAUGUUCCAGACUGCAGCUCCAAGAGGUUACAGCUCACGACUGCUCCUUUGUUGAUCAGCUGCCGAGACAACUGAGGCACCUUUCUUUCUUUUUUUCUUCCUUUCCUUCUCUCAUUUUUUUUUUAUUAUUAAAGCUGCACCGUCCUCUUUUCAUAGGGUUCAUUCUGACACAAUGGAAAAAGAAAACAAAUCCUUCUCUGCCCUGUGCAGUUCCCUCACCAGAUCUUCAUCAACCCAAAUUCUGAUCACAUUUUAUUUGGGUUCAAUAACAAAGCUUUGGCUGGUUAAUAUUACUGCUUAAUACUGGAUGUAAGAGGGAUAAACUGUUUUCAAGGUAGUUCUGUGCCUGAGGAGAAGAACAUGGUGUGUAACUGCUAAGGAUAUUGGGGACAGUGCUAAGGCAGUCCCAAAGUGCUUUCCUGUGGCAGCAUCCAGAGUUGCCAGGCCAGUGAAUUCCUUCCAUUGCUAAACUCCAGUCUUGCAACUUCAGGGAAAUUAAUUUUUUCUUCUCAGGAGUUUCUAUUUCAUUUACUCCACCUCUCCUCCUUCACUUCCUUGGUGCCUUGCACAUUUCUUGCUGCCUGCAGAGCACCUGAGACCUGUGUGUAUCUUUGCAGGAAUGAUGCAUACAGCAAUUCAGCAAACCAGGCUGUUUAUAAACAAGAGCCACUGAAUUGCAUUCAUAAAUCACUUGUAGAUCCUACUUUUGCCAGUCUUCAUCCUGCCAAUCAACAUUUGUAUAGAGUAUGGGUCUGGAUGUCACUGUAACUUAAUGUGUAAAGGAUGCGAGGUACUACUGAUAGCAAGGAAUGGGGUCUGAACACUGGUCUAAGAUCUGAGCAAAAGCAGACUUUGUAUUGUUCUGCAUUCUCAAGAAUGUCAGCAUAUCAGGUGAGCUACAAAUUUCCUUUUAAACUAUUUAUAAUGAAAAGUUCUUGAAGGCAGGAAAUGCUGAACUGGAGCCGAUUUCUCCAUUUCCUCUCCCUAUUUUCAUGUUCUGCUCUGUCCUGGAAGACCUCAAGCCUGAAGGUUCAGAUCCCAAAGUCUGUCAGUGUUUUGGAAUGAUACUUGAUCUUUCAGAUUCCUAUUCCCCUCUGAGCUCUAAAUCACGCAAUGUUCAUCACCACCUGUUAGCAUCAAGCACAGCCUCUGCCGACACAGUUGGAGUUGUCUUACUUUCUCUCACACUCUCAGCUCUUGUCGAUGGAUAUUUUUGGAGGUUUCCUCGGUUUAGAGGCACUUGAUUAAUCAGUAGUGCCAGAUGGGAAGGCUCAACUACUACCACCAUGUGUGUGUGUGUCACACGCCCAUUAGAUUCACUAACAGAGGGUUUACUUGCCAUUGGCCAGCAAGAUUUUGCACUUUAUCCCUCACUGUAUGUUUUUUGCCCAUGUCAGACCUCUUUGCCUUCCACUUUAUCACUCUCCCCUCUAGAAGUCUGAUCUGAACAGCACUUUGCUGCCUGAAGGAUGUCUUGUUUCCUCCCUGUUUCUCAAGGAGAGAAAAGCCCAGUUUUGUGUCUGUAGCUGGGUAGUCCCACAUUCACAGCAUCGUCUCCGAGCUGCUCCGGGGCUCAGCAUGGAGCCGGCUCCCCACUGCCCGUGAUGCAUUUCCCCCUUGCAUUUGUGCUCGUGCUGCUGACCUUGACUUGUGUUUGAUCCCUGCCUUCCCCCUUUGCCAGCGUCAAGGCCCCUGCCCAGCCCUGCAGGGAUGAUGUAGUGCCACCAGCUGGGAUGGCGUAAAGCAGCGCCGGGGCUCGGCCAGCUUCCAGUCACAUCCCUCUGCCUGUCCUGGGGAGAGCCACCACCUGCACAGUCCCACCUUCCCCCACACUGAAAGGCGACAGUUCAGCAAAAACAGGGCAAGGCACACGGCACAGAGAGGUAUAAGGCAGAGAGCACCAUAAAUGCUGCUUCUCCAUCGCUUUGCCACCCUAAAAAAACACUUGUCUGUGUGUGCCUGACACUGGCACUGCUCCUCUGCCCCCAAGCAGCAAGGAAGCUGCUUGACUACCCAGUUUUAAAGGAGUAUGAUGUCUCCCUAAAACUCUUAGGGAGGCUUACUGAGGAUAUUUAAGAGGGCUGGAGUUCUGUUAUUUAUGGAGGGGCUGUGCCCACGGUGUGCCUGUGCCUGUCUCUCUUUUUAGGACACUUGUUCCCAUGAAAGCUGCUGUGGUGUUUAAUUCCUCACUCCAGACCACACAGGAGGCCAGUUUAGCCCCCAGCAGUUUUAAAUGAAAGAUGAAUAAUUUUAAGGGUAUUUUGUGGAUUUAUAAGGAGGAAGUAAGGACUCUAGAGAAAGGAGGAAAAAAAUAACAGUCUGUGGCAAAAAUAUUAAAAAUAACUAAAAGCCCACUAAAAAUAAAACCCCCCCUCAGCUCUUCCUCUCCAACCAUGGAUAUUGUCAUUGUAAUACUGCUCAGAAAUGUGGUCCCUUUGGGCUGGGAGUGCAAGUAAUACAACAAUACUCUGAGUGCAAUAGAAAAGCAAUGAGGAAAGCAGCACACACAGUAAUCAGGUGAGCAGACAGGGCUUCAGCUGAGACCAUCCUCUGAAUAUUUCAACCAUGGCGUAGACCUAAGACUGGAUUCAGAACUGGCUCAACAUCCUGGUCUCCCUGUGGAAGGAAAUAUGGCUACAGCAUCCUCUAUUUAUUGGGAUGGCAUUGGGGGAUGCUGGAAAUUAAUUGGCUCCUCGGAUAUGAGGAAAGUAACCUUGGGUCUCUCUGCUAAAAAGAAAAGGAGAGAACCACCAAACCAGCAACAUAUAAAUAAUAGGAGAACCAAUAAUGACUUAAAAAAAGUAUUUAAAUGCAAUCAGGCAGAGUGGAGGAAAGAAUAAUGACAUGUGUACAGUAGACACAAUGUAGAUUACAAUUUAUAACAGGAUACAGGAUGGAGCCAGCACUUGAUUAGGGGACCAUGUUACAAAUUUUUCAGCAUAUGUCCUCUGUUUUUCUUUGCCUUGGCAUAGAAGGCUGGGCACUGCUGGUAAGUAAAUCAGAUCGUCAGAAAAUGCCCACGUUGAUGAGAAUUGCAGGAUCCAAGGAAAUUAACUUGACUUGUAUUUUAGACAAUUCUGCCAUAUCCAUUCCUUGCCCAGAGCUGUCAACUGAGAAAGAGUUGUGCCUGCUUACAGCUUUAAUCAGAGAUAAAAAUUACCCCUAGUUCAUGAAUAUGUUUAUCAUGGAGAUAAGUCAAUGGCAGAGAAUAGAUUCUCAGCACACAACUCUUCAUGUCUUGCACUAAAAUAUGUCAUAUACUGAUGUGUUUUGCUCUACAAAUAGCACCCUCAUACUCCACUCAUUGUCCAGACACAGACAGAGCCUGGGCAGGGAAAAGUCUUUCAGAAGGAAGCACAAGGAGCUUUUGCUGAUGAGCUUGGAGGGCCUUGAAGCUCCUUGGGUGUCUGCUUGCUGUGGCUUGGCCACCAUCUAUGAACCCUUCACCUGACUGCCAGGGGAGAGGUGAAGAGGGAAAUUAUCAUUUGGUCUGACCACAAAGGCUGUUGUGGCUCCUUUGAUCACCUUCUGUGUCUUGAGGCUCCGUCUCCCUCCUGGAUGUGUUCCCAGCUGCUCUUGUCUGGACCCAACACUUCAGGCAUGGCUCUUGACCAUUAAUACCAGUAAGUCAUGCUCUGUGGUGGGGUGGGGGGAAGCUGGGAUGUGCUAUUUCUUGUGGGUAGUCAGACUAUGAUAAAAAGUAACCUGUAUUCAUGAAUAGAGUAAUUUUUUUCCACUUUUAAAUGUCUUUUUUCUUCCCAGUCUGGUAACAUCACAUCCCUCAGAGUACCCUAAAUUAAAGAAAGCAAUACCAGAACAGCAACAAAAGCAGGAAUGGGAAUGACACAGCAGCAAACCAGAAAGCAAAUGGCUAACAAGGGAUAUUUGUAUGUUGCAUGGUGUUAUUUUGGCUGCUCUGUUUGUCCAAAUUGCCCAAAAAGACAGAGAGAGCACAAACAGCUAAAUGAAAGCUCCUUGAAGUUGGGGUUUUGCUAGAUCCUGAUGUGUGUGUGCACUGGGUGUGGGUGUAUUUGUGUGUGUACGUUGGGGAAGAAGGAAGAUUGUUAUUGUGGUCUCUUUCUAGACAGACAUAAACACCCCUGUUUAUUUCCAGCAUGCCAUCUAAAUUCAAAAUUAGCAUAAGCUGAUGGUGUUAAUUGAUUUAUAUGCAUGCAGGCAGUGGUUUAUCAAAGGUAGAGGGACAUAAGGUCACUCCCCUAAGGGCCUCCUGGGAACCAGUAUCCAUCUGAGAUAAUAUUGAGAUUGGCAUAGUUGGGAAUAUAACUGUGUCCAAGUAUGAAGAAACUGAGUUCUUUGUCAUUAGCAGCAAAAUAAUUUUCCUAUUAAUAUUAUAAUUCUCCUUUUAAUAAAGGCUGCUCUCAUUGAGGUCUAGGAAAGUGCCCUCCAGGUCUGCUCUGAAGUGGCCCAGGCUGCAGCUGCAAGGCUGGCUGCCUUCCCAGAGAAAGGAAAAGUCCUGUCCAAUUUGCCAUCUGAGCCAGGCUCUUGGAAUUUUGUUCCUUUCAGGUCAGUGUACCUCAGCCAUUGUGGAAAUGCCAGAACAUUUUCUCAGAGGAGGUCAGCAGCGACACAGAAACAGCAGGGACCAGCAGGGACUUCUUUAAUUUCUGAGGAAAUUUCAUUAAAAUAGUUUCCUUGAGUUGUAACAAGAGCAAAGCCAGAAAAGGGUCUUGGCUUGCAAGUGUAAACGGAGGAAAAAUACAUCCCCUCUUGCAGUGCUGGUCCUCAGAAGGGAGGAAAGGAGAGGAGACAUCCUAAAAAUGCUGUGCCUAAAAUGUCUCCCAUUGCUAUUUUUUUUCACUAUCUAUGAAAAAAAAAACCAACUUAUUUUUUUCGUGAAAAAAUUUCAACUGAAUUUUUCAUUUUUCUUUCUUUCUCUCUGUUUGUUUGUUUGUUUGUUUGCCCCUCACCUUUUCCUGGGUCGAUCUGGGGAAUUCAGACGUGAAAUCUAUCUAAAUAAAGCAUCUUCCACUUGUAAGCAAACCUCCCCUGCCUGGCAAAUUGGGAAUUUUGCCCUCUCUAGUAGGAGCUGUAGUAUCUGAUUGCUCUCUGACUAAGCAGGAGCUUGACAAGGCCAUCUUUACACUGAACAAUCCCAUAUAUCAGAGGCCACCCCUUUGAAUUCAAUGGCUUUUCUGGUGCUAAGAGAGGGUAUUAGAAACUUAGUCUGAAAUCACACCUUUCACGUAAUAGGCAGCAAUGAAUAGAAAAGAAAAGGAAAGAGGAGGCUUAUAGGAUUUCAGGAGUUUCUUUUGAAGAAGGAAUCCACCCUGCUGCUGAUGGCCAGACGCUCAUGUGGGUGUUGAGAUGUGCAAAUAAAGCAGGGUAUAAAGCUGUUAGCAAUGGUUCACAGCAACAGACCAGCUCCUGUCAAGGAGAAGCAGGUUAGGUAAACUUUUCAGGUGUUUGGAGGUGAAUCUUUUCAUUUGUGCACAGCCCUUGCUUGACCCAACUAUUUCACAUCAUUACCAAUUGCUUUGUUCGUACAUAUCAAACUUCCUCCUGGUGCUUUAUUGGUUUCUGCUCUUGCUGACCUCUUCCAGCAGUUUACUUUCUAACAUCCUGAAUGCUUCAUCAUGACUGUUCAGCACACCUCACAGAGGGCUGAGAUUAAAAGUUAAAAAAAGAGAAAGAGUGAACACAACAGGAGAGGAAACAGAAGAGCUUUUGGCAGCAGCCUGGUGACACCCUGGGGGGAGUCAAAUGGGAUGAGUAACCACCCGAAAUAAUGGCAGAGGGGAAAAAAGAGAGAAGAGACUCAAACAGCAGGGCCUGAGUGAGAGAAUUAGUAGGAACAUCAAGCUGAGAAGGCCAGGGGAGGGGAGGAAGGCAAAGUCUAUCUCUCCAUCUCAUCUCUCUGUUCCAAAGAGAGACACUAAGCCCUGUUAAAAUAGAAAAUGGGACCACUUAGUUUACAACACUGAGCACAGAUAUCUGGUACUCAGUGUCUGCUGCUCUCCUGGACUGAAAGUCUGUUUGGCUCUAUGGUAUAAAAGAAGUUCCAGGGAAAUCUGAAGUGAGGACAGAAAGGGGAGAAGGUGGGAAUUUAACAGGGGGAGAGCAGAUAGUGUCAGACCCACCUGCAGUGGCUGCAGGGCACUGGUGUAGCACAGCCGACAGCAGUAUCCUCCCUCCACAGGUGCUGCAGAGCUGCAUUUGUGUCCCCUCCCUGAGCACAAGGCUGCCGGGACACAGGGAAAGGCUGAGAGGACAUCAGCCUGGCCAGGGCUCACUCUGGCUGAGCCCAGGACCUUCUGCCUCCUCUACCCUGGCAAAUCUCAGCAGGGUUAUGUUUAGGCUGCUCAGUACUUGGUGAAGGAUAAACAUUUCAUUUAACACAGGGAGGAUGAGAUUUGGGAGCCUGGCUCCUUCUGGAUAGAGUGACAAUGGAAACAUUCAGUACUCAUGCCAGGAAACAUCAUAAGAUUUAUUUAGUGUCAAUAAAAGAAAGAAAUAUUUUGACAAAACCAGAAUAUUUUACUUGGGUUAAUUUUUUUAAUAAUUCUCUAUUAUAUGAUAGAAAAUUAAAAUGUAAAGUCAAAUAUUUUUGUGUCCCCCUCAAAAAAUUGGCAUGGGUUCUUUAGCACAGUCAGGAUCUUUCUUCUAGUUUUCUUCCAAAAAGAAGCAGUGUCAAAAUCAGUUUGAUGUUGUGAAAUGUUUCAGUGUUGAUGGAAGCACCUAACUAAUAGUCAGGGUAUGUGUGGCUAUCUCUGCUGUUAACAUUACAGAGAGCCUGACCUCCAGGUGCUCUCCAAGGCUUUCAGCUCAAUUUGCAAAACUCAGGCUUUUCUUUAGGUUUACAAUACCAUGAAGCAACAUAAAGUUCAGUGAUGAUUGGAUUAGGUUUUGACAAAUAUGAAAAAAAUUUGAGAUGUAAUGUUAAAGCAGAAGGAACUCCAGGAAAGAGCAACUGGAGGUCUAUUUUGUGAACAUACUGAAUAUGUGGCUACAGCUGCAGCAUAUUCAGACUGCAUAAAGUCUCUAACAAAAGACAUUAUGCAAACUUUGCAUUUGAAUAAGAAAAAAAAAGAAUAUCUGACCUGCAUUCUUUUCUCAUUAAGUAUAUUUUUUCUGUACACAUUCUGGUUCUUUUUUUUUUUUUAAUGCUAAUGAAGAAUUAAAUUGUUACGUCUUCAGACUAAUGACUCUCAUGAAGAUAAUUUUAACAAUUCCUUCCCAGCCUUUUCAAGUCCUGUUUCAUGCUUAGGAGGCACAGAGAGUUUAAGCUUCCAUGUCUGCCUUUGGUAUUUCUACCAAGUGCAGAUUUGUGACAUGUGCUGCCAUGUCCCAGGGUACAUAAAGCUUCACUUUGGUGUCCUUGACAUCUUUGGUCCUUUUUGUGGCUAUCUCAUAAUUCAUGCAAGUGAUGCCAUACAACUGUAAGUUUUUCAUGAGGUCAUAAAACUGAUUUAUAGAGGUUUUCCCAUAAUCUCCAAGCAAAUUAAAGAAGGUUGAUGGAGCUAUGCAACUCACUGUUGCCUCAACAAUGGUCUCAUUCAGGAAUGACACUGAACAAGAUUGAGGUAUUAAGAUAUCAAGAAUGUCCUUAAGAAGCCUUGUCUGUCUGUAAAAAAAAAAGUGAUGCCUACAAACCAAGAAGGGCUGUUUCUUCUCUACACGUAGUUGAUUUUACCCAUGACAUCUACCUGAAGAUUAGUCAGAUAGUUUCUUACUUCACUUUCUGCUUUCAAAUGGAAAACUCUGAUUAAUCUAAUGCAGGUCAGCACUUACAGAAAUAAUUUGAGGUUAAUCUCCUUUCCCUUCUGAGAUAUUUGAAGUUUUAGAUUAUCCAUUUUACAAACAGUGUUUUAUUUUGCUUUUAAGCUUUUAAAAUUAUUUUAUAAUGAGGGAAAUAUUCCAAUAAGGAAAAAGUCUAAUUCCAAAAAUUCCAAUAAAGGAAAAUAUAUUUAUAUAUACCUGUAUAUAUUUGCAUAUAUAUAUACAUAUAUAUAUUAUAUAAACCAGAUAUAUCAAAGUACAUAUUUGUGUAUCAAAAACUGUGGGGAUUUCACAUAUAUAGAUAUUAAACUAUUUAAAAUGCACAUAUAUAAAAACUAAACCCAAACCUCAAACUCUAUUUCCAAACUGUUAAAAGUGGACAUUUCAGAAUUGUGGGAACUUUAUUCUUCCGUCUUUAUUUCUGAAGCUGUUUGUGAAGCGCUUGCAUUUUGACAGAACUAUAUAGUCCAAGAAAAUGAGCUUUCACUAAACUGCCUCCAACUUCAAUAUAUGCCCUGUGUCAAACUCAGAGAGAGCUUCCAACCUCUGUGUCUGGGGCCGAGUGCCAAUUACACUGCACCCAAUGGCCUAUAACUGUCUUUUUUGCUUCUGUGAAUAUCACUUUUCUAGUUAAAAUCUUCAGGACAGCUUGCAAACUGUUUGCUACUAUUGCUCGGGAGUUAAAAGUAACCUUGAAAACAUUUCUCCAUGGUAGUAAUCGAGGUGAUUCUUCCAUCCCUUCUCAAAAAUGGCAGUAUAUCAUUCCUAUCUUUCCUCCUCAAACUCUGCCCAGCAGGCUUCUGAAGACCUUUUUAAGGUGGGUGUUAUCCUUUUUAUUUUCUUCUUAUUUGAAUAUUUCAUCUCAAACUUCUGAGGGAGAUUACUAUCUUCCAAGUGUGUGAAACCAGCCAAGAGUGUUUUAUAUGUACAUUGUAAAGCAUUUGAUGUAAUCUGUACUGUGAUUAUACAUAAAUAAGUAAAGAAAAUCUUUUUAAAAUCACCUUUGUAUUGGAAUGAGUGGGAUGAUCUCUUUACCAAAGAGAUCAUACAAACUAAGAGAGUUCUAAAGGUGAGAAAUUCUGGCCCUUUAAAGAGUAUUUGAAAUAAAACCCAGGAAGCAUAGACAUUAUAAGUAUUAGUUUUAUUACUAGAAUGAAGAAAUAAUUGUUAAAAUGAUUUCCUGAGUGAUUUAAAAAUGCUAAUAGAAGUAUUUAGCCAUAUUCUGAUCACACAGUUUUAUAAAUUGGAAGUAACUUAAUGAUAUGAGUUCAUUAAAAGGGAGAUGGCAUCAACCUUGCCAAAUUCAGGCAUCAUACAAAGAGAUGAAAGAAUUUCAAUAAAAGACAGACACAGAACUAUGGUUCAAGUCAAUACUGCCUUAUGGCCAGUGCAUUGCAACAGGCUGUAAAAGAAAGUAAUGAAAUCAUUAGAUACUGUGUCCUUGCAUUCUAUUUUCUAUUUACAUGAUAAUAAACCGAUAUUAAUAUCAUCAUCCUUGUUAUUGUUCUAGUAUUGUGAAUUCUUGUAGUUUUCUCAUUAUAUUCCUUAAAGCCUCAGAUGCUCAAAUCAGGUGAUCACCUAGUAAAUUUCCAAUUUUUUUUAUUUAAAUGUAAUAUCCUAGCUUUCCUAGUUGUGGAAAGAAGUUCAAAAGCACAUUUUGAGUGCAACUCAAAUCACUUAAUUUUAUGUAGCUACAUCAGAUGAGUCAAAGCACAAAAUUUAUAAAAUCCAGGCAGUGUGUGAAGCACAGAAGCUGCCCUAAAGGUCCCAGCAUUUAAAUGAAACUAACUCUGUUGUCACCAGUGCCAGUAAUUACAAUAAGCCUGGCAUUUCUUGUUACCCUGUGAAAUUACCUGCAAGGCCUUUUCAUAUUGUCUCCAUGCUGUUGUUUUCAUGCUCAGCAGAGCAUUAAGAGUCAAUGAUGGGCAGCUCUUGUGUUUGACUGCGAAUCGUGGGGCAUUUUGCUUUGGACUCUAUAGAAAAUCCUCAAGGUGUUUAUUGACAAAUGCUUCCUACGGGCCGCUGUAAUAGAGAAUUCUCCUCUCUGCCUGCUCCCCAGUUCCUACAAGGCCAAUCUGCUCCACAUCUAGGCAUGCUGUUGCAAAAAAUAUAUUUUUUUCAGUAGCCUCUGUAAUGUGCCUUCAAGAGGAGCUAUGGAUCAAGCGUGCUCCAGACCAAAGGCACUCAGUCCUCCAGCUCGGAGCUGUGUGCUGCCAUUUCCCCUCCAUUUGUUUCUAUGGAGCUGACUGUGUGUGCGGUCAUCCAUAAGGGUGCUGAGAUACCCUGGAGAGAGGAGGAAUAGCUGCAGCUAUUUUUCAUUAUUAUAUACUUCACUUUGUAAUAAAUGAGAUCCAUAGCAUGUGAACGCCACUCUUGUAGAUCAUCGUAUCAGCAAGCACGAGGAACCUUGUGUGCCACAAAGCUAAAUAAAAUAAAGUAAGUAAUCCCAAGAAAAAUAGGCUGGGGGGAGACCACUGAGUGUUCAGGAGUGCACAGUGCAUCCUGUCAGCCUGAGAAUGACCUCAGGACUUGCAGCAGCUAGAGAAUGGGCACUUUUAAAGCUAAAGCUGUGGUCUACAUGCUUGUCUCAUCUCAAUCUCUAUCCAUACACAGUGCAGAAAUGUACAGACUUGCACUUCCAUUGCCUUGCAGGUGUCUUUGGGACAACAGGGACCACCAAACAACUUGUGACCCAAAAAGGAAAUAGCAGCAGCAGCAGCAACUGGGCUCUUCUCCAAAGCUUGUGAUAAUGGUUUGGGCUCUGCAAUGCAACAUCUCAUCCAGGACAUGUAGAAAUCAGCAUCACAUCAUCCUCCAGUUUAUUUAAGUUGCUUCAAAGCCAGCUGCAAUGUGUACAACAGCACACUGAAACCCUCCAUGCUGCCUUCCCUGGUGAUUUUAUGUGCAACCUCUGGAUGAGACAGUUUCAUUGGAAUUGUUGUCCUCCUCCAAUGUGGCCAGAGGGAAAUGAACUGGAUGAGCAUUCUGCUGUGCCACACAGGGACCAGCCAAUGCACUCCACGUGUGUGCAGCUUAUCUGUGUGACCAAUGUAUGGCUGUUUUGGUUUCCUUCUUGAAAGCAAGAUAUUUCUUCAUGGGAGUCCUUCUGUUUCAACAAAUGCCAGCAUCAUUCCAGCCACCAGCACAAGGCAAAAACAUGCACACACAGAGCAUCCUCCUGCCCGUGGCAGCCAGGGCACCCUUCAGACAUCCCACCUCACCUGCUGACACAAUCCUUCAGCGCCCACCAAAAUCAAAUGCAGCUAAUUGGAAGGUGAUGACAGCCAGGGGAUUGCUGGAUUUGCAUGCUAAUUCCUCUAUUUUAGCAUCACACAGCCCAAGUACAGGUUCUGUGUUCAACACCUUCCUGAGAAAAACAGGAUUUCUGCAUGGAAGGAGGAUGAGUACUCAGACACACACCUGAAUUCUGCAACAUCAGUGUGUUUUUAUAGGUCCAAAGUCAGUUUCUACCCUGCAGAAAUACAUUUCCCUGAGACUCCACGUACAGGACUGGUCAGUAUAAAGCAAAUAAAUUACACUGGUGGAUGUUGGAUCGUGUGUCAUCUUGUCUGAUGUGCCUCCAGAUUUGUUGAGAAUGUCACCGUGAAUGUCCAUUGGCAAACUGGAUAAGAAAGAGUGUCACAGUGCAGGACAACCUAGAAGAUGACAGAUUCUCACAGUUCCUCUAUUAUACAGCAAUAUUAGCAAGUAUCCGCUCUGGACUGCAGCUAUGUCUGAAUUUCCAGUUCUUGAGAACUUUCCUGCAUCUUCACAAGAAAUGAAGAGAGCAUAUUUAUUAGAGCAAUCUUCUAUUAGCCCCCCUCAAAAGCCUGUGCCUGGAGCCUUGUCCAUUUUAAUACAUGCAGCAAAAAGUGCAAAGCUGAAACCUAUUCAUCUUUAUUCUCUGAACUGUGGCAAAGUUUACUAAGUGGACACAAGUUCAGGAAGGAAUCCUCCUCCUGCAGCAAACCUUCUCCCCAGAACAUCCCCAGUCCUGCAGAAGCUCACACCUGGACCCGAGCUGUCCAUCUUCCACACAUGCAUUCAUCUUCCAGAAACAUCCUUAGGCAUCCUGUGGGCUCUGCUCUGCCUUAAACCUCACAUUAGCAUCAUCGAGGGAAAAUAUAAAUUUAAACUGACACAGACUUGCUUGUCUCUUCCUUUGUGUUUAAACACAGAUGGUUGCUUUUGUUGUGCCGCCGCAUUUCAGCCAAUGCAAGCAGCAAAGUACUUAGCUGGAAUAUAUAUCUCUUUUCUUUUCCAAACAUUCACAGGGUUGGGGUUUUUUUUUGUGGUGGUUUUUUUUUUUUUUUUGGUAGGUGAAGUAUCAUUCUUCAGAAUAUAUACAAUGUUUUCAUGCAUCUUAAUCUAAUCCAUUAGUCCUUGUAAUUUAUUGUUAACUGCUUGGAUGUAGGGGCCAUGACAGCUUUGAGUAAAGCAUUUAAGCAGGCAUCUGUUUUGUAUAAAUUAUAAGAACCUUGGUCACACAAGGUUUCAGACAGAGACAAAGGUCUUUUACCAGCAUCUGUAGCCCUGGGGAGAGUAAUUUUUUUAGUCUUUCUUUUUUACUGUAAGAAGCUUUGGAUCUUGGAAACAGUAAAACUAUCUGCAGACUUGCAUUUACUUUUGUAUUUGGUAUUGUUAACAGCUCCAAGGCACGAGUAACAUGAUUGGCAUGGGGUUUGGGAGCUGGAAAACACUUUGUUAGUUUCAAAUCAGUUCCUUGGAGGCUAAAGCCCUGAUUAACUAUAAGUGGAGUGGAUUUUUUUAAUCUGACUGCUGCAGUAUUUUAUGUCUGGUCAUUUAGGCUUAUUUCUGUAAAUACUUCAAUAAGCCUGAAUCAAUUCCUUCAGUGUGUCCCUUUGUCUCCUGCCAUCAGACAUAGUAUGGUGUCAUGACAUAAGUAAGCAGAAUAGCAGGAUCAAGGAAAAGAUACCUUGUGCCACUGAGCAAGGAACUUAUUUGUGAAGAGGAAAGCAAAAACAAAUUCUUAAUAUUAUCCUAAUAUAUCCAAAAGCCCUUUCUCUCCUCUUUUGAUUUCCCUUCUGGUUUUUGCCUGGCUAUGAGAUGUCUGAAAGGAUAGCAAGAUUUUGCUGGGGAUACACAGAUGACUAAAGGUCUGCUGUACAAAUACUCUUGUUGCCUUCUCACCUGUGCUGCUUAGAUUAAUUUGGCUCUGUCCUGAAGGUUUCUGCAUUGCACAUUUCCUAACUAAACAAGAAGUCUGCUGGAGUAAACUAACUGAAGCAGAGUACUCUGCAUCUCACUUUGGCACCAUCAUUCCAUGCCACAGACACACGGUUCAGAGUUAAUAAGAGUGCCAUGUAAGGGAUGCCACUCACCCAGGUGAAAUGCAAUGCAGUGGGGGACAAGCCUGGUGAGUGGUUUUCCUCCUCAAAAGUAGCUUGGAGAUGUGGCUUCACUCUCCUUAGUACCUCUGGCUGCACAAAGGCAGAGCUGUGAAGGUGAUGGGAUCACAGCAAAUCUACCCGAGUGCAGAGCUUUGGUUUAAUUUUUUUUUUUAUAUCAAUGGCUGGUCUCAGCUCUAAUUAACCUACUCCCCUAUCAGUCCAUUCCCUCCCCACAUGCUGUCUUUUCCCCUUCCUCCCUGUGAUCUCCAUUUCACUGCAGAGAUGGCCUGGCAAAGAGACAUUAUUCUAUUUAGAAGCUGAGCACCUCACUAGGGGUGACAGGCCUGUUUUUAGGUCAUUUAUCUAAUUGCUCUUUGCAGAUAAGAAUUAAUUAGCCCGAUUAUUUUUCUUAGUUUUUGGAUGGGUUCCCCACCUGGAGAGAAGAAAUUCCUCCAUGUCAGUGAUUAAUUGCUGAGCCAGAAGCUUUCUGCCUUGCAUUUGUAAUAAAUGCCGACUAGUUCUUUAGGUCGCAUUAGGAACCAGGCAGAUUGUGGUUAAAAUGCACGGGAUAAUAAAGCAUUUCUACAAACAAGAUCACUGCCAUUAGAUUUUGAUUAAAUAUUUUAAUUUAUCUGGAGGUUGAGGGACUGCGGGAAUCAAAAGGUUUAAGGUCUCCUAUUCCCAGCACUUUCUGAUGAGAGUUGCCCUAUAGCCCUUUGAUCUAAACCAGAUGAACCUCAUGGCAAUGCUUCAGCUCAGGAUUUGGCACAGCUGGUUUGUCUCAUACUGGUCUGAAUGCUCCUAGGGCCGUGAGUGCUCAGCCAGCUCAACUCGCUUGUGAUAACAUUUUGUGAACUACAGGAGUCUGAUCGAGCUGAGGGAGGAAAGGUUAAGAUUUGUGUGUGAAAUUAUGGCAGGCUUAUAUCCAGCUGUGUUUAACACAGUAGAAAUUAUUUCAUUUCCCCUUUUCCUUCCCCCUUUUUCCCCCUUCACCUUCUCCUUCCCUUUUUCCUUUCCCCUUCCCUUCCUCCUCCAUUUCCCUUUUCUUUUUUGUUUCCAUCCCCCUUUUUCACCUUUUUAUUUCCAUAAGAAUUCUGAGCAUUAAGCCCAAAGAAAAAUCUAUUUUUUCUGCAGGGCCAACUAAAGAAAAACAGUGGCCUCGAUUCACAAGCUGGUCAGCCUAGGACAGGUCUCUUUUCCAGGAUUAUAGAGCAAGCCAGACAGUAUGAUCUCCUGUGCCCUUAAAACCUGAUUUCUGACCUAGAAAGUUCAUGGAAGAAAAUUGGAGUCUUGCCAUCUAUUUUGUCGUGCUUGUGAACUGUUUGAAGCCCCUGAUGUCCCAAUAGGAGAAAUUAAUUGCUGGUGUUAGAGCAGCUUCUCUGAUCACAAAAGACGUGGAACUGCCUAUGCUGUGGUGAUGGUUGCUGCCUCGGAGAGAGGAGGGUUGGGAAGGCACAGGGAUGAGAUCCUGGGUCUGAGUCCCUCUGUCUCACAGCUGAGAGGUGUUAGGAGGGCAGUAUCAGGGCACCAAAUACCUUGGCUGUGUUUGUUGUCCGGGAAAAAAAAAGUAAAUCUUCCUCUUGCAAAACAUUUACAUUGGAGAGAAGUAAAUUAGGGCCCCUGUGUGGAUUUUGUUAGUGGGCAGUUAUUUUUCUGGGGAUUUUGUUUGUUUGUUUUUUAAUGGAAAGGGGAAAAAAAAUGAGAAAACCUGAAAACGACAAUUUUUUCUCCUGACAAGUGGGCUGAAGACAGACGAGGAGAACUGAUAUUUCUCUAAUGUAUAGGAACAAUAUUGCAUUGUGAAAAGUAACUUUCCAUGGAACUUCGUUCGAUUCUUACUCAACCAUAGUAUUUUGAGAAUACCAUUCCCAGCUGUGAUUUAAAGACAGAAAAAUCUAGUGUUACACUGAUGGUUAGUCAAAAAUCAAUGCCUAAAAAUUGCUCCUAACUUCAACUUUGUGCUAUGGGACUACGAGAGUUAUUUUGGCUUUGAGUAUUGAGUAAAGCUCAUGUGUAUCAGAGAUAGUUGAUAUUUUUCACUACCUACAAAACUAUCAAAAUUAUUUUAUCUUUUGGUAAAUUGAAGUUUUAUUCUGGUCACCAUUGCUGCCUGUAUUUCAUAACUAGACAGAAAUACACAUGCAAGACAGAGCACCUAUUUUUUUUCCUUACCAGAUACCCAAGCAGAGUCAGAUACUUGAAUUCAGUGGGAGUCGAGGUGCUAAAUGCUAUUUUUGAUCUUAGCAAUUGGACCCUAUUUUAACUAAUACAUUACAUAAUAAUUUGGGAAUAAAAACAACAUCUCCCCAUGUCACUGGGAAAAUACAUUCCAACCCAGUUUUCGGAUGUAGAAAUGGAGUCCCUGUGAGUCUGAGAUUUUUCCUUAAUGCCACAAAAUGUGUCACUGGAAAAACUUCACACAAAACCUUAGCAAUAUCUGCUCUUGUUCUAAGCCCACACCAAACCAUUUAAUUUAAGUAAGAUUUACCUCCCCCACCUGCAAUGCCAUUUCUGGCACUGUACAUGAGGAAAUUUAACAAUAUCGAGUGGCCUGAGUUAUGAUAAUGAAAGAUGGUUGCUAAGAAAAAGCAUGAUGAUAGCCAAGAAAUUAAUAUUACAGAGAUGAAAAUCUUCUUAUAGACCCAAAAUAAUAGAUGUUCUGUAUCAAUAUAUGACUAAUCAGCACUCAAGGAUUUAUCUUUCAAAUUACAGAACGUGGUGGAGACAUUUAAUGCAAUAUGGUCUCCCUUCAGAGAGAUACAGUAUGUGACUAAAUAUCUCCAGUGAGUAAUAUUCACACUUACUCAAGUACUGUAAAUAUAUCCCUGAUAAAUCUGGAGAGCAAAUUCUUGUAAAUUCUUGUUUAACACUGCAAGGAAGCUUAAUAACUUUCCAAUCUAUCAACAUGUUUUAAUUUCCUACUGUGCAGUUUCUAACUGAAACAAGGCAUUUAACAGAAGAGAUUCGAAACUAAUGGAUAAUGGACUGUCAUGUUCUAAAAAACCUUGGUACCAAAUGUGACACUGAAUUGUGUGGGUUUGGGCAGGACAUUUCCAAAUGGGAACGUUUCAUUGCUGCUAUGCCUAAUUAUGCAUGCAUUUUAAUGUAAAAUUAAAUGCAUGUGCAAUGUGCAGAUUAAAAUAAGAAAAAAAUCCUCUCUACUAAUAAGUGGGAAUGGCUAAGAACCUGAUGGAGGGUUGCAGCCAGGUGGCUACAUCAGCCAGUGACACGUGUACCUACAUGUGCUUCCCGAGGUCCAGGCUAGCAGAACACCCAGUAAAAAUCAUGCCACACUUAACAAAACCAACCUAUUUUUAAGUGGGAUUUAAUAACGUUAACCUACAUGUAUUUUACAGGUUUUGGAGGGGUGCAGACUGGAUGAUUAGUAAACCCAGUUUAUGUAAUGUUUCAAGCCCCUAGUUUUGGCUUUUUUUGCCCCUCUUAAUUUUAAGCAGGUACCUCAAAAAAUUAAGUCCAACAAAAUUAUUGAGAUACACAGCCAUCAGGCUGGGCUUUUUUGGGGGGGUAGAAGAAUCAGUCUAAUUUCUGUAUCCUCUUUUCUGAAAAAGCAGACCCUGAACUCAGGGUGGAUGGCUGUUACAAUAGUGUGCCCAUAAGUUCAUGUUGGUCAGAGGUGAGCCAGGGAAUUUUUGUUGUCUUGGGCUUGAAGGGAAGCACGUUUCAGAGUGAACAUGCAUUCUCUGGGACAUCAUCAGGAUAGGGUUCAUCUCCCUUAAAGCAUAUUUCUACACCUCUGCCAUGAAAGCAGAAGAAUUUCCAGUCAGACCCUUGAAAUUACUGGGCCAUGGGCCUUGUGACGCUGUGAGGAGCAGUAAGGAAAUCAGCACUGCUCUGUGGAACCUGGUGCUGGCAGCCACACCACCCAAAAUCUGAGCUGUCUGGUAGCUUCAGGUAUUGCUCCAGGGAGAAAAUUCAGAAGUAAUCAGAGCUGUGAUAGAGAGAUACCUGAAUCAUAACUGCUACUUUUGAGUGUUACAUGGAUCAGUCUUUACCAAUAAGCUGAAAUUACCUCAGACUUUUUAUUUAUAGGUUGUAAUUGUCUUUAACGAAGUAAAAUUUUUUUCCCCAAACAUUGGGACAUUUUCUAGGCAGAGAUUUGCUAUGGACCUUUACAUGAGCAAAUGCAGCAAUACCUGUAUACUGGUUUAUAAAAUGUGCAAGGUUUUUUUAAAAAAAUAUAAAUUAUUCAGUUAUUAUGAUGCUGAUGCUGCUGCUACUGUGUAUAUAAACGUUUCCAGUCCCAGAAUGGGCAUAAAAUACUUACUCUGAAUAGCAAACAUGAAAGAAAACAACUGAGCUGAGAAUUAAUGAUUCACUAUUUCCUUUUUUUUUUUUCCAGCUCUGGGGGUCUCUACAAAAGAAACAGCUUCCUACAAGUGAUAAUGUUAAAUCUUCUUGUUCUUCCUACUUGCCUUUUUCCUCUCUGGGGUCUUUAAAAAACUUACUUCAAGCAUUUGAAAAACUUCCCUAAUUUUUCCUAUAGUCCUCCAAACCAAGCUUCCAUGGCUAGUGGAAGAUGUUUUAAUCUCCUGCUAUGUGACAGAACUAUCCAGUAUUCUCUGUAAAAUUGAUCAUAUGUGAUUUUUCUUCUCUCUUUUUUAAAUUUUCUGCCCAAAAAUAUUAUACGGGGAAAUAAACACAGAAAACCAAGUACUCAAAGCAUUACCAGAGACCUGCAAUAGGCCAAGGAACGAAAUUAUUAUUUUCUGACCCCCUCAAGCCACCUUUUGCCUAACACAGUGCAAAGAAACAAGGAGUACAGAAAAGUACCUCUUUUUUGUCUGUUAUUCAUGUGAUGAGGAACAUGAAAACAAUUCACAGUAGUCUUUUAAAUGUGAAUAUUAUCAAUAUCAGCACUUCCAUUUGAAUAAUACAUUCCCAGACAUCUCUUGUUAUGAUUCACAACUGUCUGGUGUGAUCGAGCCUCUGGUAACUCUCUCAAAAGUUCUUGAGACUUGUAUUUAUUUCCAUCAUUUCAGGACACUCUUUGUAAAGAUGAAUAUCUUUUAAUACCUCUUGCCUGGGUGCAAGGGGUGACCCUGAUUUUUGCAAAACCUCAUUUUGCAAAACACACGCUGAGUAUAUUAAGGCCCUGAUGAGAUAGAGCGCUGGCUAGAGAAACCUUCAAACAUUACUUUUUUUCUCCUCCAUAAAGUGGAAAACUCUAAAUGAUAUUGUUGAUUAGAUACAGCAUAUUGGUAAAGGUCUUGCUAGUUCUCCUGAGUGUGUCUGCUUGACUUCUAAAUUCACAGCACUAAAAUGUUUUCAUUCCCUUUCCCUUCACUCCCCACUUAAUCCUUAAGCAUUUUCACCUUAAUCCAGAAGUUUUCAAAUGCCCUGACAAACCAGCUAAAUGUAAAGAAAUAGCUGCUUCUCUUAGCUUUUUUUCCUGUCAAUCAUUUAAAACCCAGUGUAAUGUGUGAUGAGGAUGACUCAGUUUGUAGAAAAGCAGCAACUUAGCAGUUGGCUAAUGUUUUGUGAGCUGCUCAGCUUAAGCAGAUGGAAUACUUGUAUUUCAUAUCUCAGCCCCAUCCCUGAUUACGGUUUUUUAGCAGUCCCAGGUACUAACUACCUCAGCAUCAGAAGAGAUUGGUGGCAGGCUGGUGUUCACAGCUUACUUGUGAUUCUGGAAGGUUUUCUUAUUAUAUGCAAUAGUUCUGUCAGACAGGUGUGGGAGGGAUGCAUUUGUGCUUUGGGGAAUAGCAGGUAAAUUUAUGCAGCUUUAAAGGACUGGCAGAUUUAGCUGCCUACAUAUGAUUUAAGGGCUGGAUCCCAAACCCAUUAAAAUUAAUGGGAGUUUUUCAUUGACUUAGUUGGCUUUGGAUUAGCUCCUAAGUGAAUUUCCAGUAGAAGGUAAAAUCCCAGCCAAAAAAGCUGCUGAUUUCUUGGCACCCUUGUCUCCUUUUAGUGAGCAGUGGCAGAGCUAAAACUUCCAGAGCUGCCCAGUGGAGUUAUUCUGACAAACUCAACCUUUACUUGCAGAGAAUUUUAUCCCUUACCUGGUACUCCCAGAAUAUUUGAAUAAAAACAUUGAAAAAAUAGUAAUGUAGACUUUAUGUAAAUAAGUUUGCCUCUCUUGCCUUAGAAUAGAGAAUUGCUGCACCAUGUUGGACCUAAGAGUUGUAUAGACCUGUAUGCUCUCUGGAUUUAGAUAUAAGCAGAUAUCCUGGGAACAAUGCAAGCAUAUUUUUCUAAACUUCUGUGCUGUUUUUCAGAAAAAAAUCCCCAUGGCCCAGAAACUCCUUAAACAAAAGCUCUCUAUGCAUUGAAUAGCUCUCAAUGUGUUUUUCUUCCAUUAAUUUCCCCAUAGAUUGUUUUUGAAGUUAUACAACCACCCCUAAAUAUUUUUGCAAGGAAUUUGCAAGUUGCCUUUGUGCUACAAAGACAGAAGUCUUGUUCCUUUUGAAUAUACCCCGUGCUAGUUUCCUUUGAUGACUUUUAAAUCUUGCAUUACUAGAGACAGUGAACAUUCAUUAUCUAUUUGCCAUUUCCAGGCCAGUCAGUAUGUUAAAGACCUAUCUCUGACCUCCUUAUCCCUCUUCUAGGUUGUUCUUUUACAAGAUAAAAAGUCUUGAUCUAUUUAGCGUAACUUAGAAACUAUACUGUAACUUUUCCUAACCUCAAAUAAUUCAGGACCUGCAAUUAAAUUUUGUGGUCAGCUUGGAUUCAAUCACUAUGUUCAGCUUACUGGGCACAAUGAUAUUUGUUCUGACUUUUUUUUAAAUACCAAAAUUAGUCUGACUCCAGCUCCCUCAUGAGAUAUUGCAGGGGGAGAUAGGCGUGGGCAGGGGAUCUGUAUUUGGAGGAUUCCUGACAUUGCAUUAGUUAAUAAUGAGGGACAUAUUAGUAUUCUUAAAGUUCCUAUCGUCUCUAUGCUUCAUACAGAGCUGUAAAAUAAAACAGCCAUAGCCAUUAAUAUGCUAAUGUUAUAUGCUAUGACCAUGUUGCUGUCUCUCUUGAGUAUCUCCCCAGUCUUCCUAUCUCUUUCCACAUCAUAUUAACACUCCCUGGGUGAAAUCCUGACCCUGUUGAAGUCAAUGGCAAAACUCCCAUUGACUUCACUAGAGGCAGGAUUAUCUCCUCUGAGGAGCUUUAUGGCUUCACUCCUGACUGCUUUGCUGUUUUCACAUCCUACUGUAUCCCCUAUUUGCUCUCCCUCUUUUCUGAUAAAUGCUCACCCUCUUGCUAUCAUUUAUUUUGGUCUUGCACUCCUGGUUCUGCACCUUUUUGAAAUGAGUCUGCCAGCGUGGAAAAGUCUUCCUCUGCUCUGCCUGCCCAUUGACUCCCUCCUCCUGCUAUCAGAUCCUGCUAAAAUUUUGUAUGCUAAUCUUUCCCUGCUAGCCACUGCAUUCUCCUCUCCUUUCCCUGCAUCCCAUCACGAUAUAGUAUAUACUAACACUAAGAAUAGGUGAAAAUUGCCUGUCUGCCUCCUCAGAUGACUUCAGACAAGGUUUUCAUAUGCAAGACAUCUAUAGCAAGGGAAAUGCUUCCCAGGCAUUUUUUCCUCUCGUUUUUCCACCUUGUAUUCAGUGCUUGCUUUAGAUAGACCUGUAAUAUUAAUUCCUUGCUGUCCAGCCUUAUAUUUUUAAUUUAAUUUUAUUACAGUUAUGCACAGUUAUAGAAAAAAUAAAUUACCCUAAAAUUAGCAUGCUGAAUAGGCUAAAGGAGUAUUUAGAAAUGAGCAGAGAACAAUGCUCUCUAGAUAAUUUAUCAUGCAGGCAAGAAGAAAGAGUUGCCUGACUAAGGACUUCAGACUCUCCAUGAAUAUAUAGUGUAAUCAGUAAAGAGUUUGCAUGAUCAAGUACUAACCAGAAAAAAUUUGAAAUACAAAGUUCAUUUAAAUCAAUAGAAAGCCUCCCAUUGUCUUGGCUAAAGGCCUAAAGAAGGAUUUCAGGAUUUGACCCAUUGCAUCAGAUUGCAAAGAAACCUUGUAAUGCAUUGUGGGGUUUUUUAUUUUAUUUUUAUAUAAGUACAUAGGCUGAGCAGCUUUAUACUGUUGACUUUGUAUAGUUAUAAGCCUAAGCUGAAAGAUCCGAGAAACUAUUAAUACCCUCCAGAGAAAUAUCAUCUUGCAAUAGUGAGUAUGGAUCCCUCUUGUUGACCUAGUUUAUAUCUACAGAAUCAACCUACACAAUUCCUUUCACCAGCUGCUCUGUGGCUUAGGGAGAUGGGGUGUUAAUUAAUGAGACAUUUGUUGAAAUUUAUAAGGGCUUUUCCUAUCCAGGUUAGACAUAAAUUAUGAAGGCUCUGGCAAAGUGGGCAGAAUAUUGUUGACUGUAACUGUUCUGCUUAUUUUAGCCAGUACUAGAGAAAAUAGGUCUUCAAAGAACAAUUUAUGUGCAGGAGCAAGCUUGAUGAGAAAAAGAGAAGAACAUUUUAAAGAAAAAAAAAGUCGCAGUAUGAAAUGAUUUGUUUUUCUUAUUCACUGUAUGAUUACUUUUUGAAAUUUCUAUUUUCAGUACAGCCUUUUAGUCCCUGAUUUGUUAGGAAAAAAUAAUCAUAUGGUGAUGAAACUGUGAUCUGUUUGAAAUGCAUAUGAUGUCAUACAAAAUUCACUAUUAUCUCCUACUUGGAUUUUAGAGAUAAAUAUAUUGGAAUUGCACACACAGAGAAAAAAUUAGAUAGAUUUUCUUUGAUUAUGUGUAGUCUCCAUUUUAAUGUUAAUUUCUAACAAAUAUUCUAGCUUGGGAAUUUAACAGCAGACGUGUUGGUAGAAAUAGAUUCUUUCAAGUGAGUGUUAGAAUACAGUGGUUUUCUUAAUAAUGAAAAGCAAAUUUCCAUUUCUGAAUCAUAAGCAUUGUCAUCGUCAAGCUAAUUCAAAGCCUGACAUUUUAUCAGUCAGGAAAAGAAACAUGUUACAUGCAUUUAAUUAAUAUCUCCCUCUGAGGGUUCGAACACGCGCAGGAGUCUAUAAUAGUUGUUCAUUUAGGAGCCUUUCAGUUCAAGCAGUAGAUCCAGAUCUGGAGGUCCCUGUUCCCAUUCACCCUCAACCCUUUUCAUUUCUUAUGACAUGUGCAAGAUUAUGUGCCAAUGGAGCAGACAUUUUGCAAUAAAAUGUAUUUUCAUCAGAAAAUGCUGAUUCACUAAAAGCAGAAUGUUACAUGGAAACAUAUUGCUUUUGAUAUGCUUCUGAGAAAAUACAAGUGGGGUCUGCUGAUUGUUUCUGUUUUUUCCAUUGAGGUUGCUUUUUUCCUUUUGAAGAAAAUUUUAUUUUGAAGAAAAUUUUAUUUCAUUUUGAAACUAUAAAAAUAAAAAUCCAUCCACUUUUUAUUUUACUUUCUUCCUGGUUUUUCUCCAGAAUUUCUUGCAAAAUCACAUCUUUUUGGUUCAAAACAGUUUUGUUCAUGAGCACCAAGCACAGUAAACCCACAAAGCAUUCUCAAUAUAAGAACCCAAAUUGAGUCACCAGAUAAUUCUAAAAGCUAAGAACUGCUACAAACUGAAAGAAAAGAGCUGAAUCCAUCAAACAAAUAUCUUUCUGAAUUACCACUAUGGCAAAUUCCGGCAGGAGCAGCUUUCUUUCAUGGUUACUUAACCGUUAGGGAAAAAAACCCACAGUCUAUGUCCUGAAGAUAAUGGUUCAGCCUCAGAAGACAUUUCAUGAGCUACUGCAAAUCUUAUUUUCCUGAGGGUUAUCAAAGGCUCAGAAACCAAAAAGACCUGGUGCUCAAAUUGUUUAGAUCAUCCUUUUCUCUUCUCCCUGUGACUGUGCUUGCCCAGGAGCCAUGUGAGCUCCUUGCUAGUUGUGAUCUGUGGGGCAAUCAAAGAAGCCAUUUCAUGUUCCUCCUCAGUCACUGGGCCUCCUGAUCUCUUAUCAAUUACCUGUCAAAAGAGGUGGGUGUUCUUCUUCAUUAACACAUUGCAGUGUGGUAAUUAACAACCAGAUAGCACAGGGCUUAGAAAGUGGCCUCUCUUGACCACUUGUUCAAUAAAUAUUGACAUAAGUACCAGUAAAAGUAUGUCAUAUGGGUCUUUGCUAAAAACAACAAGCAAGAAAAGAGUAGGAAAGCAAACAAAAUGUAUCAUAACUUGUUUUUUGAAGAAACCUCCACCAGGUUUUAGCAGCAAAUGGGAGCAAUUUGGGCAUUAUUCAAGCCCAAGUUGCCUUGUUUUUUGUUUCUCUCCUGACUGAAGAUGUGCCCCCCUCCCCCUGCUUUUUGGGUGGGGGGCAGAAAGGGGAGGUUACCUUCCCGUUGAAAUAAACCAGCAAGAACUUUGUCAAGGAAUGAACUCUUACUGUAACCCACACCUCAUUUGUCACCCUGAUGGGCUGAGGAAAAGUGACAUUUACAAACUGAGAAUGAAAGUACAUCCAUUUCACCAGUCUGACACCCUGAUAUAAUAACUAUUUACCUUGAGAAAGAGGGACUGAGAUUUCCGAUUCUUGUGAAUCUUCUCACUUUGGCACUUAUUUUCUCACUCUGUCAAACAGCCCCAGAUUAAUGGAACAAUUUGUUCAACAAAUCAUAUUAGCAGAAAGCGCACAGGGUAAAGAGAAGGAGGCGGGGGAGCAGGAAAUUUUUACUCAUUCAUAGCAGUGGUAUCUCUGCAAAUAAAAAUGUAGUUAUGCCUGACAUUUACAGAGGUACAAUGUGAAAGGGAAAAAGUGUAAUGACUUUGGGCAGUUGAGAGAUCACUUUGCAAGAACAGUAGUGCUCAAAAGGGAAUAAGAUAAAGUUACACAUAACAUCUAGAUUGAGCUUCUUUCUGGAACAUAUUUGUCAAACACAGCAGGAUCCGUCUGUGUUUAAAAAAGAGUUUUCCAUUAAAAUUAAGCACCGUGUGCUUUCCUAACUAUAAAGAAAUGCUGCCUUACAGUCUGCAUUUCAGAAAUGUUAGGUAAAGAAUUAAAGUCAGUUGGAGCCAUAGAGUGAAUGCUAUGAAUCCUUCUCGAUGGAUUGAUAAUGUCUAAGGGACUGAUAUAAACCCUACCUAAGCCACCAGAAGAUUUUCCAUUGUCUUCACAGGACAAAUUGGGCACAGAACAAUCAGAAACCCAACUAUUCUUCUGCAUUUACUCCUGGUUUACACUUCAUAGCCAGACAAACAAGGUUCCUUCUAUUUCCCUAUACACAGAUAGCUCCUACCAUGGAGUCAAGACAAUGGAAGAAUGCAACAACAGUUUUUCCAGCUUUACAGGGGCCCAGGUAUAAGUAUAAUCAAUUCUAGAAAAUUAUCAUUGGGUAAAUGUUUUGGUUAGGAAUUGCAAAUGCGUUAAGACCGUAUUGAUGAGUAAUUCACUGGGCAGCAAACCAUACUUUUUCCUCUCAGCUCUUUAACCCAGAGCUCCUUGCAAAACUGUGUCGGUAUUUAUAGCAUAUACAGAGUGGAUUAUCUUUAAAAAGUGUUUCUUUUUAAGUCUGAGCAGCCUGUUUCUGCUAGCCAUGAAAAUAUACAGAGCAAUGCAGCAUCAUCCCCCUGCAUGCACACUCACACACUUAUAAACACAUUUUAAGAGGAUACUCUAAGUUUUCCAUCACAUUAAUUUAUUUCUGUUAGCUUGGUACAGCAGCACUGUACCCUAUUCUCCAAUGAAAAUUGACGCUCCCUUGUUCCACGUUUCUUUAUGCCAUGACCUUGGGUGUCAAGAGAAAAUAUUGCUUUGCAUCCUUGUGUUGCUUGAGUCCUGCUUCUCUCUUUAUAGCUUAUUACUUGGCACACUUCAGAGCCUAUGUACUGCAAUGAGAUAUGCACUGUACAGCAGGUAACGUUUGGAAUACUUCAGGCUACAGAGAUAAGGAGAACUGACUCUGUUGUGCACAUAAUAUUGUGCCCCAAAUUCAGGAAUUUAAAUGAAUGGUUCAAAGGUUUAUGGUGGCAAAUUGUUAGUUUCUUAAUAAAAGGAAAUCAGCCUUCUACAUGACUGAAAAAAAAAAAAAGCUGAACACACAAAAUCAUUACUUAUUAAUUCAACUGGGUUUUACCCAUGACAGUGAA
Molecule: long non-coding RNA, 33645 nt
Organism: Passer domesticus (house sparrow)
Lineage: Eukaryota; Metazoa; Chordata; Aves; Passeriformes; Passeridae
Exons: 22
Source: RefSeq, a predicted model, not a curated record